CGCCGUUGGGGGUGGCCCCGCCCGGGGGAGGGCCAAUGGGGGCGUCCUCGCUGACGCGCUCUUUAUGGCCAGUACCCCCGCACGGGCGGGUCUCAAGGAAGGGCUGUCAAGCACUAUGUUGCCAAGCUGUGUACCCUGGCCCAGGGAUAUAUGCUCAACGAGGGUAUCAUUUACCAUUGAAGGGAUAGCAUUAGCUUCAAAACAGGAGCCAGCAGAAACAAACAACAGUCAGAGAAGUUGAAGAAGACUUGAGAACAUGUGUCCUGGAAUCUCAGAAAGGCAAGAAGGUGAUUAAUGAGACUGCAAGCGGCAGACAAAUCAAAAUGAAGCAUAUAUCCAGAUGAGUACAGCAUUUUACAGGGCUUCCAGAUCCUACUUGAAAAAUCCCAAAUAAGGAGAUAUAGUCUUGAGGCUUCCCCACAAAAAACUCUGCUGGGGCCUCCAAGAAGACAGCAAACAGAGGAAUGAUAUAAUUUCCUAAUUUCCAACUGUGAUCUUACAGCCAGAUGGGAGAGCAUGAUGUGAUGCCAUCCUACCAUGCUUCUGUGGUCCUUGGGAAGGUAAAAAGCCAGAAGCUUCAAGCUUGCAGGUAAAGCUGACCCCGUUGUCAUUUUCACUGAUAGAAGAGACACAGACAGAGCUCG
This is a long non-coding RNA of Fukomys damarensis (Damara mole-rat), 644 nucleotides long. RefSeq lists it as uncharacterized. The transcript has 6 exons. The record is from RefSeq and is a predicted model, not a curated record. Lineage: Eukaryota; Metazoa; Chordata; Mammalia; Rodentia; Bathyergidae.